GACGAAACGCUGGCGGCGUGCCUAAUACAUGCAAGUCGAAACGCUUCUUUUUUCCAUCGGAGCUUGCUCCACCGGAAAAAAGAGGAGUGGCGAACGGGUGAGUAAACACGUGGGUAAACCUGCCCAUCAGAAGGGGGAUAAACACUUGGAAAACAGGUGCUAAAUACCGUAUAAACAAUCGAAAACCGCAUGGUUUUUGAUUUGAAAGGCGCUUUCGGGUGUCGCUGAUGGAUGGACCCGCGGUGCAUUAGCUAGUUGGUGAGGUAACGGCUCACCAAGGCGACGAUGCAUAGCCGACCUGAGAGGGUGAUCGGCCACAUUGGGACUGAGACACGGCCCAAACUCCUACGGGAGGCAGCAGUAGGG
This 366-nucleotide ribosomal RNA is filed under the name uncultured bacterium. RNAcentral's name for it is "bacterial SSU rRNA". It matches the Rfam family "Bacterial small subunit ribosomal RNA", at positions 32 to 359 of the family's 1533-position model. The record is from RNAcentral.